CUGCAGAAGUAGACAAAAGUUUUGGGAAAAACAAGUAUCUGCUCCACACUCCCUUCCCUGGAAGGAACUCUUUAUCUUGAGUCUAAUUAGUGGAUCCAAGGUAAGUAAAACCCAAGUUUGUUUGCUCUCAAUUAAAGCUCUUUUUAUGGUAUACCCAGAGGCACCACUUAGGUGUGCAAACCAAAUGAGAUGAAUAAAAAGUACUCUGAUUAACUCCUCCAAAGAUUGUCAAUGCAUUUUUGUUUUGAGAAAUUGAUGUUAGGAACUUAAACAGGAAUCCUUAACACUUAGGAGAAAAGUAUGUAUGCAUGUCAAUCAUUCUUAUAUAUUUGUUUCCAUAGCAAGGAGUUUACAAAGAAACUGCCCUAUGGAUUGGGAGUGAGGAAAGGAAUAGGAGAGUGUUUUCACCUACGAAGAAAUAAAGGAAACAACCACUUCAAAUUUAUCCUAUUCUACCAUGAAGACUACUUGUGGGAAGAGAGGAAAAUACUUUUUGCCUCCUGCAAAACAAAGUCCAUCUGAUGGAAGUGUGGGUAAGUAACAAAUUGAAGAACAUCAAGAUAAGAGGCAAGUACACCAGGUAUGAAGCUAUUAUCAAAGAGCAAAAUGCUGAAGACCUGAAGUAAGGCAGUGGCAUUAGCAGGAGAAAUGGUGAGGGAAGAAUAUAUUUGAGAUAUAUUUCAAAGAGGGAAUCCUCAGGAGUGGAUUCAGUGACUAAAUCAAUCUGGGCCAAUGGUAUAGGGGAACAUGAUAGAGCAGAGGUGUGAAAAGAUUGGUAGGGGAUGAAGGGCUCUGUUUGUCAUUUAGAAUUUUGUUUGGGAUAGUGAACAGUUAGAGGUGACAUCCACUGUUUGAGAUACAGAAAGAAAUGCCUAUUUUGGGAGAAAUUUAGAAGUCCAGUUUUUGGCAAAUUGGGAUUGAGGUACUAAAUGAAGGUGUUAGGAAAGUACUUAGAUGCGUGUGUCUGGAAUUUCUUCUAAGAGUGGUCUGAACUGGAGAAGUGAGGUUUAGGAGUGGAUUAUUUAGGGACUAUGCUCAAGUGCAAGUCUAACAAACUCAGCUACAGGAGCUUAACCAAAUAGUUAUUUUUCUUAAGUAAAAAGAGCCCAGAGUUAAGUAGUCCAGAAUUAGUGUGGUAGUUCCAUGAUUUCACCAGUGUUUCAGGUUCUUUUUAUCUUUCUGUUCUAUCAUCCUUAGUGUCUUUGGUCAGGUUUCCAAGAAGCAGUGUCUUUUAUGAAGAUUCAGGUCAUGAGAUUCAUUAAGGGAAUGCUCUUCUUGAGGAUAAAACCUGUAAGGGAAAGUGGAAGGCAGGAUGGAGAAGGGGAGAGAGCAAGUAGUUUUACCAACUUAAAUAUUAAAAGUGGACCAUGCAUGAACCAGUGAUGAGUGUGUCAUGAACCAAGGGUUAUGACUAAUCCCAUUCUAUGAACAUGUGGUCCAAGGAAAAAUCAAAAGAAUGGAUGAAGAGAGGAAGGAAUUCAAGGAAUAUAAAGUUCUUCUUUCAAGUAGUCUGACUUUGAAU
This 1522-nucleotide long non-coding RNA is filed under the name Felis catus (domestic cat). Its description in RNAcentral is "lncRNA (ENSFCAG00000045534.2)". The record is from RNAcentral. Lineage: Eukaryota; Metazoa; Chordata; Mammalia; Carnivora; Felidae.